AAAAGGUAACGGAGGCGCUCAAAGGUUCUCUCAGUACGGUCGGAAAUCGUACGUAGAGUGUAAAGGCAAAAGAGAGCUUGAUUGCAAGACAUACAGGUCGAGCAAGGAUGAAAAUCGGACUUAGUGAUCCGGUGGUUCUGCGUGGAAGGGCCAUCGCCCAACGGAUAAAAGCUACCCUGGGGAUAACAGGCUUAUCUCCCCCAAGAGUCCACAUCGACGGGGAGGUUUGGCACC
Molecule: ribosomal RNA, 234 nt
Filed under: Clostridioides difficile
Lineage: Bacteria; Bacillati; Bacillota; Clostridia; Peptostreptococcales; Peptostreptococcaceae
Description: partial 23S ribosomal RNA
Rfam family: Bacterial large subunit ribosomal RNA
Source: RNAcentral